RNAcentral lists this ribosomal RNA (2923 nucleotides) under Klebsiella pneumoniae. RNAcentral's name for it is "23S ribosomal RNA". It matches the Rfam family "Bacterial large subunit ribosomal RNA". Lineage: Bacteria; Pseudomonadati; Pseudomonadota; Gammaproteobacteria; Enterobacterales; Enterobacteriaceae. The record is from RNAcentral.
GGGUUGUGAGGUUAAGCGACUAAGCGUACACGGUGGAUGCCCUGGCAGUCAGAGGCGAUGAAGGACGUGCUAAUCUGCGAAAAGCGUCGGUAAGGUGAUAUGAACCGUUAUAACCGGCGAUGUCCGAAUGGGGAAACCCAGUGCAAUUCGUUGCACUAUCGUUAACUGAAUACAUAGGUUAACGAGGCGAACCGGGGGAACUGAAACAUCUAAGUACCCCGAGGAAAAGAAAUCAACCGAGAUUCCCCCAGUAGCGGCGAGCGAACGGGGAGCAGCCCAGAGUCUGAAUCAGCUUGUGUGUUAGUGGAACGGUCUGGAAAGUCCGACGGUACAGGGUGAUAGUCCCGUACACCAAAAUGCACAGGCUGUGAACUCGAAGAGUAGGGCGGGACACGUGGUAUCCUGUCUGAAUAUGGGGGGACCAUCCUCCAAGGCUAAAUACUCCUGACUGACCGAUAGUGAACCAGUACCGUGAGGGAAAGGCGAAAAGAACCCCGGCGAGGGGAGUGAAAAAGAACCUGAAACCGUGUACGUACAAGCAGUGGGAGCACCUUCGGGUGUGACUGCGUACCUUUUGUAUAAUGGGUCAGCGACUUAUAUUCUGUAGCAAGGUUAACCGUAUAGGGGAGCCGCAGGGAAACCGAGUCUUAACUGGGCGUUAAGUUGCAGGGUAUAGACCCGAAACCCGGUGAUCUAGCCAUGGGCAGGUUGAAGGUUGGGUAACACUAACUGGAGGACCGAACCGACUAAUGUUGAAAAAUUAGCGGAUGACUUGUGGCUGGGGGUGAAAGGCCAAUCAAACCGGGAGAUAGCUGGUUCUCCCCGAAAGCUAUUUAGGUAGCGCCUCGUGAACUCAUCUUCGGGGGUAGAGCACUGUUUCGGCUAGGGGGUCAUCCCGACUUACCAACCCGAUGCAAACUACGAAUACCGAAGAAUGUUAUCACGGGAGACACACGGCGGGUGCUAACGUCCGUCGUGAAGAGGGAAACAACCCAGACCGCCAGCUAAGGUCCCAAAGUCAUGGUUAAGUGGGAAACGAUGUGGGAAGGCACAGACAGCCAGGAUGUUGGCUUAGAAGCAGCCAUCAUUUAAAGAAAGCGUAAUAGCUCACUGGUCGAGUCGGCCUGCGCGGAAGAUGUAACGGGGCUAAACCAUGCACCGAAGCUGCGGCAGCGACACUAUGUGUUGUUGGGUAGGGGAGCGUUCUGUAAGCCUGCGAAGGUGUGCUGUGAGGCAUGCUGGAGGUAUCAGAAGUGCGAAUGCUGACAUAAGUAACGAUAAAGCGGGUGAAAAGCCCGCUCGCCGGAAGACCAAGGGUUCCUGUCCAACGUUAAUCGGGGCAGGGUGAGUCGACCCCUAAGGCGAGGCCGAAAGGCGUAGUCGAUGGGAAACAGGUUAAUAUUCCUGUACUUGGUGUUACUGCGAAGGGGGGACGGAGAAGGCUAUGUUAGCCGGGCGACGGUUGUCCCGGUUUAAGCAUGUAGGCUGGUUAUCCAGGCAAAUCCGGAUAAUCAAGGCUGAGGUGUGAUGACGAGGCACUACGGUGCUGAAGUAACAAAUGCCCUGCUUCCAGGAAAAGCCUCUAAGCAUCAGGUAACAUCAAAUCGUACCCCAAACCGACACAGGUGGUCAGGUAGAGAAUACCAAGGCGCUUGAGAGAACUCGGGUGAAGGAACUAGGCAAAAUGGUGCCGUAACUUCGGGAGAAGGCACGCUGGUGUGUAGGUGAAGUCCCUGCGGAUGGAGCUGAGACCAGUCGAAGAUACCAGCUGGCUGCAACUGUUUAUUAAAAACACAGCACUGUGCAAACACGAAAGUGGACGUAUACGGUGUGACGCCUGCCCGGUGCCGGAAGGUUAAUUGAUGGGGUUAUCCGUAAGGAGAAGCUCUUGAUCGAAGCCCCGGUAAACGGCGGCCGUAACUAUAACGGUCCUAAGGUAGCGAAAUUCCUUGUCGGGUAAGUUCCGACCUGCACGAAUGGCGUAAUGAUGGCCAGGCUGUCUCCACCCGAGACUCAGUGAAAUUGAACUCGCUGUGAAGAUGCAGUGUACCCGCGGCAAGACGGAAAGACCCCGUGAACCUUUACUAUAGCUUGACACUGAACAUUGAGCCUUGAUGUGUAGGAUAGGUGGGAGGCUUUGAAGCGUGGACGCCAGUCUGCGUGGAGCCAACCUUGAAAUACCACCCUUUAAUGUUUGAUGUUCUAACGUUGGCCCCUGACCGGGGUUGCGGACAGUGUCUGGUGGGUAGUUUGACUGGGGCGGUCUCCUCCCAAAGCGUAACGGAGGAGCACGAAGGUUAGCUAAUCCUGGUCGGACAUCAGGAGGUUAGUGCAAUGGCAUAAGCUAGCUUGACUGCGAGCGUGACGGCGCGAGCAGGUGCGAAAGCAGGUCAUAGUGAUCCGGUGGUUCUGAAUGGAAGGGCCAUCGCUCAACGGAUAAAAGGUACUCCGGGGAUAACAGGCUGAUACCGCCCAAGAGUUCAUAUCGACGGCGGUGUUUGGCACCUCGAUGUCGGCUUGUCACAUCCUGGGGCUGAAGGAGGUCCCAAGGGGAUGGCUGUUCGCCAUUUCAAGUGGGAUGCGAGCUGGGUUUAGAACGUCGUGAGACAGUUCGGUCCCUAUCUGCCGUGGGCGCUGGAGAAUUGAGGGGGGCUGCUCCUAGUACGAGAGGACCGGAGUGGACGCAUCACUGGUGUUCGGGUUGUCAUGCCAAUGGCACUGCCCGGUAGCUAAAUGCGGAAGAGAUAAGUGCUGAAAGCAUCUAAGCACGAAACUUGCCCCGAGAUGAGUUCUCCCUGAGACUAUAAGUCUCCUGAAGGAACGUUAAAGACGAUGACGUUGAUAGGCCGGGUGUGUAAGCGCAGCGAUGCGUUGAGCUAACCGGUACUAAUGAACCGUGAGGCUUAACCUUACAACGCCGAAG